RNAcentral lists this ribosomal RNA (450 nucleotides) under uncultured bacterium. Its description in RNAcentral is "bacterial SSU rRNA". It matches the Rfam family "Bacterial small subunit ribosomal RNA", at positions 354 to 796 of the family's 1533-position model. The record is from RNAcentral.
GUGGGGAAUAUUGGACAAUGGGCGCAAGCCUGAUCCAGCAAUGCCGCGUGCAGGAAGAAGGCCUUCGGGUUGUAAACUGCUUUUGUACGGAACGAAAAGGCUCUGGUUAAUACCUGGGGCUGAUGACGGUACCGUAAGAAGAAGCACCGGCUAACUACGUGCCAGCAGCCGCGGUAAUACGUAGGGUGCGAGCGUUAAUCGGAAUUACUGGGCGUAAAGCGUGCGCAGGCGGUUUUGUAAGACAGGCGUGAAAUCCCCGGGCUCAACCUGGGAAUUGCGCUUGUGACUGCAAGGCUGGAGUGCGGCAGAGGGGGAUGGAAUUCCGCGUGUAGCAGUGAAAUGCGUAGAUAUGCGGAGGAACACCGAUGGCGAAGGCGGCCACCUGGACCAGUACUGACGCUGAGGCACGAAAGCGUGGGGAGCAAACAGGAUUAGAAACCCGAGUAGUCC